GGGGAGCUGAUCUCAGAAGAAUGUGAGAUGGAAUUACUAGAAAAAGCUGAAGUUAUUGUGAUUCCUGCUGGAGUACCCAGAAAACCUGGGACUUUAUCCAGCCAAAGUUAAUAUUCCAGUCAUUGGAGGUCAUUCUGGUAUGACCAUUAUACCUGUGAUCUCUCAAGCUAUUCCACCCAUGUCUUUCAAAGAUGAUAAACUGGAUACCAUCACAAAAAGGAUCAUGAGGCUAGAGCUGAAGUAGUGAAAGCCAAAAAUGGGGUAUGCAGGGUUCAGCCAAUCGGCUUAUGCUGGAGCAAGAUUCACCAACUCACUCCUGGAAGCUGUGACAGGAAAGGAAAGAGUAGUGGAGUGUGCCUUUGUAAAAUCUUCUGAAACAGAAGCUGCCUAUUUUCCUUCUCCAGUUCUUUUUGGGGGGAGGUAAACAAAACUUAUUUGACUAUUUGUCCAAAGUAAACUGAAUUGUUUCACUUAUAAGUACUUAGAUUUGAAUGAGUGUUCCUAUUACUGUCCCUUAGCUUCUUAUACUUUUACUUUAUACAAGUUACCAGUUUUUCGUUACAGACUUUUGAUGUAUUGAUACAAUACAUUUCAUCUCAGUAUCUAUAAAUAAAUGGUGACAUUUGUUAGCUGUAUAAGAUUUAGAAUUUUCUCUGUUAAAUUGUAGUCCAAAAAGUAUUGAUAGCUUAA
Long non-coding RNA from Limulus polyphemus (Atlantic horseshoe crab), 690 nucleotides. RefSeq lists it as uncharacterized. The record is from RefSeq and is a predicted model, not a curated record. NCBI's taxonomy places the organism in Eukaryota, Metazoa, Arthropoda, Merostomata, Xiphosura, Limulidae. The transcript is spliced from 5 exons.